Molecule: long non-coding RNA, 1756 nt
Organism: Cyprinus carpio carpio
Lineage: Eukaryota; Metazoa; Chordata; Actinopteri; Cypriniformes; Cyprinidae
Source: Ensembl
UGGAGAUCUUUCAAAGAAUCUGACCCUUGAUUUUCAGACUUUCAUCAGACGUACUCUUUCAUCUCUUUCACAAAGCUUUGAAGGGAUAUUAGACAUCACACUGGUGACUGUUAACAUCCCAUGCCAGUUUUCAUAAAACAUCAUAAGCUCAGCAUCAGAUUUUAUGACUAAGUUCAGUACAGUCAGCAGAGGAGUUGAUCUUAGAUGAAUUCUUCUAACUGAUCUUGGCCUCUCUCCCAUUUCUUCCAGCUCUCAGACAGGAAGUGUGAACCCCCCACCAAGACUGACAUGAGAACAGUCACAACAUCUGAACAAAAACUGACAGGGUCAAGAGGGCCUGAUCUGGGGUGAGUGGACAGCUUGUCAAGAAGAGUGGGUUUCUUUGGUCCCUCCCCCGACUGCUGACAGGCACUGCUGUAUUAGCAGAGACCCUGCCCUGAAUGAAACGGACACAAUCCGCCAUUUUUGUGUAGUAGCUACUGUAUAUUACGAUGCUGCCGCUUAAUACAACGAUCUAGUAUAAACUAGAUGUGUCCACUCCAUUUGCGAGAAAUGGAUCUCCGUUCCCCGCCAGUUCCCAGGGAUUAAUCACCACUGCCACUCCCGACCCAGAGCCCAGCCCACCAUCUCCCCGAUGUACGGAGCGCAAGCCUGAGCCCACCGCUGGCGGAGAGCCAGAGCCCGCCGCAACCGACAAGACAUCGCCGCAAGGAGCAACAGUGCUGAGGAUCGCCACGGAGCCAGUGCUGCUGAAGACGUCAGUCAAAGUUUGUGAGCCGGCAACAGCGCCUGCGACAAGGGAGAGUGCCGCUGAUGGUGUGAGCGCGUAGAGGAGCUCUGCCCCCUACACCGCAGCUGAGGGUGAGCGGACUAUGGAGCGCCAAAAGGGCCAAAAUGAGGAGGUGGAUCUUAUUGACUGGGAGUCUGAACUGGAAAUUGAACUGCCCCCUCUCCUCUCUCCAUCGUCUCCGCUGGUCCCGUCCAGCCCUCCUUCGUCUGGCAGCACCUCUGCUCACCUUCAGCGCACCAUCUAUGCGGUGCGAGCCCCAUGGGACUGCCAUCCUCCAGCGUCGCCGUGGCUGGAGUCUCUGUUGACUCCGCCUCCAGCCUGGCAUCGACCAUCCUGCGCCUCAGGACUCCACUUCUCUGGCUUCGCCUCGUCCCUCUGGCUCCGUCAGGCUCCUUUAUCCCCUCGGCUCCAUCUCAGUCCUCUGUCGCUUCGGCUCCACCGUGGCCUCAUGGAUCCACAUCUCCGCAUCGGUCGCCGGUGCCAUCGGCUUCACCUAGGACCUCCAGAUCCUCCCUGUCACCCUGGCUCUUCGGCUCUCCAUGUCCGCCUCAGGCUCCUCCACCACCUGCUCCGCCACCUUUGGCCGGCCCCCUGGAGUCGGCAGCCACUCCUCCGCCAUGGCUGCUGUUAUGGCUGUGGUUUGGGUCCUGCUGGGCUCCUCCUGCUCCAAGCUCCCCCUGGCUCCUCCCUCCGUGGUCUCUGUCUACACAACCCCCCCCCCCCCACCUCCCGGUUCCACGGUGUGAGGUCACACCUUCUGGGAGGGGGGAGUAAUGUCAUGCCCCUGGACUCAUUGUGUUGUGUUUUUCCUCCCCAGGUGUGCCAUGUUCCCUUUAAUUAAUCAUUCCACUCACCUGUGUUUCUUCUUUUAUCUUGUGUAUAAAGGUCCUAGUCUGUUCAGUCUGUGUUUGUCAGGUCAACUUGUUUGCUACAUGUGCUCCUACUGUGGAUUAUCCCUGUGAUUCC